RNAcentral lists this ribosomal RNA (1775 nucleotides) under Meloidogyne arenaria. Its description in RNAcentral is "SSU rRNA". It matches the Rfam family "Eukaryotic small subunit ribosomal RNA". Lineage: Eukaryota; Metazoa; Nematoda; Chromadorea; Rhabditida; Meloidogynidae. The record is from RNAcentral.
UCUGGUUGAUCCUGCCUGAACUGAUGUGUUCAUUUCAAAGAUUAAGCCAUGCAUGUAUAAGUUUAAUCGUUUUAACGAGAAACCGCGAACGGCUCAUUACAAUGGCCAUGAUUUACUUGAUCUUGAUUAUCUAAAUGGAUAACUGUGGAAAAGCUAGAGCUAAUACAUGCACCAAAGCUUUGUCCUCUCGGAAAAGCGCAUUUAUUAGAACAAAACCACGCGGCUUCGGCUGCUUCUUGUUGACUCAGAAUAACUAAGCUGACCGCAUGGCCUUGUGCCGGCGGCGUGUCUUUCAAGCGUCCACUUUAUCAACUUGACGGGAGCAUAAUCGACUCCCGUGGUGGUGACGGAUAACGGAGGAUUAGGGUUCGACUCCGGAGAAGGGGCCUGAGAAAUGGCCACUACGUCUAAGGAUGGCAGCAGGCGCGCAAAUUACCCACUCUCGGCUCGAGGAGGUAGUGACGAGAAAUAACGAGAUCGUUCUCUUUGAGGCCGGUCAUCGGAAUGGGUACAAUUUAAACCCUUUAACGAGUAUCAAGCAGAGGGCAAGUCUGGUGCCAGCAGCCGCGGUAAUUCCAGCUCUGCUAAUACAUAGAAUUAUUGCUGCGGUUAAAAAGCUCGUAGUUGGAUUCGUAUCGGUACCCUGGAACCCUCCGGGUGUUUCUGGGUGUUAUCGAUUUAUCGUAAUGUUCGGUUUUGAGUCCUUAACAGGAUUCUUAACAGGCAUUGCAAGUUUACUUUGAACAAAUCAGAGUGCUUCAAACAGGCGUUUUCGCUUGAAUGAUCGUGCAUGGAAUAAUAGAAAACGAUUUCGGUUCAGUUUUAUUGGUUUUACGGACUGAGAUAAUGGUUAACAGAGACAAACGGGGCAUUUGUAUGGCCCCGUGAGAGGUGAAAUUCUUGGACCGUGGCCAGACAAACUACAGCGAAAGCAUUUGCCAAGAAUGUCUUCAUUAAUCAAGAACGAAAGUCAGAGGUUCGAAGGCGAUCAGAUACCGCCCUAGUUCUGACCGUAAACGAUGCCAACUAGCGAUCCGCCGAUGGAAAUUAUAUUGCCUUGGUGGGGAGCUUCCCGGAAACGAAAGUCUUCCGGUUCCGGGGGAAGUAUGGUUGCAAAGCUGAAACUUAAAGGAAUUGACGGAAGGGCACCACCAGGAGUGGAGCCUGCGGCUUAAUUUGACUCAACACGGGGAAACUCACCCGGCCCGGACACUGUGAGGAUUGACAGAUUGAUAGCUUUUUCAUGAUUCAGUGGAUGGUGGUGCAUGGCCGUUCUUAGUUCGUGGAGUGAUUUGUCUGGUUUAUUCCGAUAACGAGCGAGACUCUAACCUACUAAAUAGCUGGUACAUAAUUUACGUGUAUACAGCUUCUUAGAGGGAUUUGCGGUGUUCAGCCGAAAGAAAUUGAGCAAUAACAGGUCUGUGAUGCCCUUAGAUGUCCGGGGCUGCACGCGCGCUACACUGGCAAAAUCAACGUGCUUGUCCUACCCCGAAAGGGGCGGGUAAACCAUUGAAAAUUUGCCGUGAUUGGGAUCGGAAAUUGCAAUUAUUUUCCGUGAACGAGGAAUUCCAAGUAAGUGCGAGUCAUCAGCUCGCGUUGAUUACGUCCCUGCCCUUUGUACACACCGCCCGUCGCUGCCCGGGACUGAGCCAUUUCGAGAAAUUUGGGGACCGUUGAUUUAAUUUUCUAAAUUACUUUGAUGGAAACCAAUUAAUCGCAGUGGCUUGAACCGGGCAAAAGUCGUAACAAGGUAGCUGUAGGUGAACCUGCUGCUG